GACGACGCUGGCGGCGUGCCUAACACAUGCAAGUCGAGCGAUGAAGUUCUUCGGAACGGAUUAGCGGCGGACGGGUGAGUAACGCGUGAGCAAUCUGCCUUACACAAGGGGAUAGCCUCGGGAAACUGGGAUUAAUACCAUAUGACACUUGGUAAUCGCAUGAGGACCAAGUCAAAGAUUUUAUCGGUGUAAGAUGAGCUCGCGUCUGAUUAGCUAGUUGGUGGGGUAAAGGCCUACCAAGGCGACGAUCAGUAGCCGGCCUGAGAGGGUGAACGGCCACACUGGAACUGAGACACGGUCCAGACUCCUACGGGAGGCAGCAGUGGGGAAUAUUGCACAAUGGGCGCAAGCCUGAUGCAGCGACGCCGCGUGAGCGAAGAAGGUUUUCGGAUCGUAAAGCUCUGUCCUCUGGGAAGAAAAAAAUGACGGUACCAGAGGAGGAAGCCCCGGCUAACUACGUG
This 461-nucleotide ribosomal RNA is filed under the name uncultured bacterium. Its description in RNAcentral is "bacterial SSU rRNA". It matches the Rfam family "Bacterial small subunit ribosomal RNA", at positions 33 to 507 of the family's 1533-position model. The record is from RNAcentral.